GCUUUUUUGCAUUUGCUGGAUCAUAUUGUUUCAGUAAAUUAUUUCCGCACGCGAAUCUCACAUAGCCCCUUACUAAUCGAGUAUUGUCCCAUACAAAUCUCAUGUUACCCCAUAAAAUUUCACAUUUUCUCUGACAAAUCUCAUUGAGCCCCAUGCAAAUCUCCCAAAUUGUUCCAUCUCCAUUGUUCCCAAAUUGUUUCCUCACCACUCACCAGUGAAGGAGGGAAAGAUUAGUGAAGUGAAGUUCACUCCCUUCAUUUUGUCAUUCCUUCACCGUGACGGCUUCACUCUCCUUCACUCACUCGAUCAAAGUUUUCAAAUCCCUCACUCAGCUUCACUCUCCUUCACUCCUUCAUCGUGAAGGAAGCCUCGCUUUGCGGUAAAAGAGUGAAGCUGCACAGGUAUGCAUAUGAAAACUGCUCGUAUCAUGCAUGCAUAGAGUUACCACUACUAGGCACAAGUAGUUUAACCUCCCUUUGUAAAUAAUUUGGCGCAUAUAUGUAGAAUGUAUGGUAGUACUUGAAUACACAACAGAUUUUCCAGAACAACGUCAAAUAAUUUUAACACGUAUUGGAUAAACAAUUUUUAAGCGAAUAUUUUUUACUGGUUUUUCGUUGUGAUAAGUUGUAAUACACGAUAAACGCGUUCGGGGCAACAUAGGAUGGUUGGAAAACCCGAUCGGAUAGGAUAGAGUCUGGUCGAGUUGAAAUAUGCAAUUUUUGGAGUUGGAUAAACAACUGUCAUCGGAUACCGAAUCGAAUUCGUUUUGCAGGAAACGCUCAAUACGAACAAGCAAAAAUAAGUUUGGACAUGCUCACAUACACAUUACAUGUAUCGAUAAUUUUCUUCUAAGUAUGGCCGAAAUUUCAUGUCAUUCGGUUCAACCUUUUGACUCUAUCGUGUCAGGCGGAGGACAGAACGACAUUACGGUUCCAUAAGCUCUGACUCUGGCAAAUAUCAAACGCAAUGAAACAAGGGUAAAUCAAGUAAUUCCCCCCAAAAAUUAUGCGACCACACCUCUUGGAUGCGGGGGGGGGACUGGUCUGAUUGACCCAAAAGUUUAUACUAUCCGCCUCCUGAGGUCAAACGUAUGAUUCCGCAAACAUAUCUCAAUAAUAUCAAUUCGUUCUCCCGCUAUCCUGCUUACAAACGGACAGACGAAAGGAAGGACGGACAGACGGCCAAAGCCUUAGCUUAGUAGGGCUGCACUCUAUAAUAAAUAAAUAUGUAUAUUACAAUUCAGUUGUGUUCUUCUUGAAGAGCAUGAUUCUAUUCUACGUAUAUACUUGUGAUUAAAAAUGUAAUAAACUGUUACAACGCAUGUCAUCAA
Folsomia candida is the source of this 1330-nucleotide long non-coding RNA. RefSeq lists it as uncharacterized. NCBI's taxonomy places the organism in Eukaryota, Metazoa, Arthropoda, Collembola, Entomobryomorpha, Isotomidae. The transcript is spliced from 3 exons. The record is from RefSeq and is a predicted model, not a curated record.